This 84-nucleotide transfer RNA is filed under the name Meiothermus hypogaeus. Its description in RNAcentral is "tRNA-Met". RNAcentral also lists the same sequence under 2 other names. The record is from RNAcentral. Lineage: Bacteria; Thermotogati; Deinococcota; Deinococci; Thermales; Thermaceae.
CCCCUUGAUGGGCUGGCCGGGCCGGAGCUUCAUGUGCUUGAGGGCUUCUUCCAGACCGGCCCGUUCGGCCUCGGGGUAGAGGGC